This 827-nucleotide ribosomal RNA is filed under the name uncultured bacterium. RNAcentral describes it as "bacterial SSU rRNA". It matches the Rfam family "Bacterial small subunit ribosomal RNA", at positions 9 to 831 of the family's 1533-position model. The record is from RNAcentral.
GAGUUUGAUCCUGGCUCAGGAUGAACGCUAGCGGCAGGCUUAAUACAUGCAAGUCGAGGGGCAGCACGAAUAGCAAUAUUCGGUGGCGACCGGCAAACGGGUGCGGAACACGUACAGAACCUUCCUUUAAGUGGGGAAUAGCCCAGAGAAAUUUGGAUUAAUACCCCGUAACAUUAUAGAGUGGCAUCACUUUUUAAUUAUAGAUUUAUCGCUUAGAGAUGGCUGUGCGGCUGAUUAGGUAGUUGGCGGGGUAACGGCCCACCAAGCCUGCGAUCAGUAACUGGUGUGAGAGCACGACCAGUCACACGGGCACUGAGACACGGGCCCGACUCCUACGGGAGGCAGCAGUAAGGAAUAUUGGUCAAUGGACGAAAGUCUGAACCAGCCAUGCCGCGUGAAGGAUGAAGGUCCUCUGGAUUGUAAACUUCUUUUAUCUGGGACGAAACACUUAUAUUCUUAUAAGCUUGACGGUACCAGAGGAAUAAGCACCGGCUAACUCCGUGCCAGCAGCCGCGGUAAUACGGAGGGUGCAAGCGUUAUCCGGAUUCACUGGGUUUAAAGGGUGCGUAGGUGGGUCUGUAAGUCAGUGGUGAAAUCUCCGAGCUUAACUCGGAAACUGCCAUUGAUACUAUAGGUCUUGAAUUUUCUGGAGGUAAGCGGAAUAUGUCAUGUAGCGGUGAAAUGCUUAGAUAUGACAUAGAACACCAAUUGCGAAGGCAGCUUACUACAGGAACAUUGACACUGAGGCACGAAAGCGUGGGGAUCAAACAGGAUUAGAUACCCCGGUAGUCCACGCCCUAAACGAUGGAUACUCGACAUUUGCGAUA